This 344-nucleotide small nuclear RNA is filed under the name Erinaceus europaeus (western European hedgehog). Its description in RNAcentral is "7SK RNA". It matches the Rfam family "7SK RNA". Rfam says of the family: 7SK was discovered as an abundant small nuclear RNA in the mid-70s but a possible function has only recently been suggested. Two independent studies have found that 7SK RNA binds the CDK9/cyclin T complex (known as elongation factor P-TEFb). The record is from Rfam by way of RNAcentral. Lineage: Eukaryota; Metazoa; Chordata; Mammalia; Eulipotyphla; Erinaceidae.
GGAUGUGAGGGUGAUCUGGUUGCGACAUCUGUCACCUCAUUGAUCGCCAGGGUUGAUUCAGCUGAUCUGGCUGGCUAGGUGGGUGUCCCCUUCCUCCCUCACCGCUCCAUGUACAUCCUUCCUGAAGCUGCACACUCGGUCGAAGAGGACGGCCUUCCCCGAAUAGAGAUGGACCCGUCUUUGGUCGAGGGUAUAAGAGUAGCUGCGCUACCCUGCUAGAACCUCCAAACACGCUCUCCAGAUCUCCACUCUGCACUCUUCAUUUUCAGUAUUUAACUAGAACAUCUAGGAAUUUCAAGAGCUUUUAAAGAAUUCUGCUUCUAAACUGUGAUUUGCAGCCACUC